This 460-nucleotide long non-coding RNA is filed under the name Equus caballus (horse). RNAcentral's name for it is "lncRNA (ENSECAG00000048645.1)". The record is from RNAcentral. Lineage: Eukaryota; Metazoa; Chordata; Mammalia; Perissodactyla; Equidae.
GAAAGGUCUUACAAAGUGCCCUUUGCGUUCCAGCUCCUGCGGACGGCUCCGCCCGGGCACGAGCAGCAGCAGAACGCCUGUGCAGUCAGGCCCUUGGGUGGGCUCCUCUCCUCAGCUUUGCACUGUGGUUGGCCCCUCACACGGUUGCCAGAGUGGCCAAUGGAAAUCGCUGUGGAUACAACCCAGUUCAUACCGGGGGGCCCUCCCAGACGCUCUGCAGACCAGAGGGCAACUCCUCACGGAACAUUGACUUUCCGACUGUCACCCUAGAGGGCCAGAACCUCACCCCUUUGCACUUCAGGCUCUAGAUCCACGUCUACCAUUAUUGCUUAAUAAAUAUUUGUUACAAUAAUUAAUUAAAUCAAUUCAGUGGUUUCUUGAAUAAAACUUUGGCUGGCAGCUAUAAAUCUCUUUGAUGCUUGAAGAAGUUAUUGUUACUAAAUGCAGUUUUGUAGGAAAA